CGUCUUGACUGCAACAAUAACCUUUGCUGCGUUAUUCGGUCGAUUUUCUUAUGUUGUAAUAAUACAUGAAUAUAAUAGAUUGUGUCAGCUCCGGGCAGGCUGCAAAACCUGGCAUUCCCGAACUGCACGGGGUUGUUGUCAUGACCCAACUAUAUAGAUUCACCCUCGACCCGGGCAGAGAACAAUACUAUGAAAAUGUUGGAACGGUGCAGAUCACUGUUUAACAAAGUAUGACUGAGGGACAAUUUUAUCUUAGUCUCUUCUGCAAGUACGCAAAGCGAGCAUGUUGUAUAAUACGAAAAAUGUGGGCCGCUGUCUC
This is a long non-coding RNA of Myzus persicae (green peach aphid), 319 nucleotides long. RefSeq lists it as uncharacterized. The record is from RefSeq and is a predicted model, not a curated record. Lineage: Eukaryota; Metazoa; Arthropoda; Insecta; Hemiptera; Aphididae. The transcript has 3 exons.